Long non-coding RNA from Phlebotomus papatasi, 2809 nucleotides. RefSeq lists it as uncharacterized. The record is from RefSeq and is a predicted model, not a curated record. Lineage: Eukaryota; Metazoa; Arthropoda; Insecta; Diptera; Psychodidae. The transcript has 2 exons.
ACCAAAAACCAAGCCGAAGAUAGCUAGGUACUUUGCAUGAUUUCAGAAUUAUCUCGAAAACGUCGCACAAUCUUUUGUAUAACUUUUAGAACUUGUCUAGGCGGAACCGUUUAUUAUACAAAAAUAUUGUUUUCAAUCAUUUCUUAUAAGAGCUUUUUCAAGGUCAAAAGUUAAAGUGGCUCUAGGGAGCAUAUUUUUCAACCGAAUUAAUAAUGUUCUGAUUCGUUGGAAAGGUUUUGGAAUCCCCUUACAAAUCUGAACUGGUUCCAAUAGAAUAUUAAUCGAUAAUAAACCUUUAAUUUUUAGUCGAAAAAGUUGAAACGCUUUAAAAUUUUAUUAUGCUAUUUAAAUAUAAAACUGACAAAACUAGGAGCAUAGUAUUUAAUGUUCGGAUAAAAUUUGGAAAGGCAGACGCUUAACCCAUUCCUUACCAUGGUAUUAUACAUCGUACGCAAAUUGAGUUAUUUUAGAUGAUUUAUUUCUGGGCAAUUGAUAUUCGAAUUGCUGUCGGGAAUGGAUUUUUAAUUACCUUAGUUCUUCAAUUACUUGGGAAAAAUAGUCCGACAGAAAUGGGAAUACAUUUUGUUGUUCUUUUCUUGCUUCACGUGAAGUCAUGUAAAAAUUUUGCUCAAAAUGGCGGACGGAAAGUUCGACAUCCCGUCGAAUUUGUUAAAAUUUGCCUUCAUCUUCUCUGAUUUGGUCAUGAAUUGGUCUUAAGUGUAGCUAAAAGACCUUAUUUCUGGCAUAAAGAAUAAGAGAUCAAGUCCACAAUAUUAAAAUAAUUCUCAUUGAUCUGAUUUGUUUCACUUUUAUUUAAAAAAUCGGGAUCGUCCCUAUUUGAAUUUCGCUCAAAAAUCACCUAAAAAUUUGAUAUUUGGCUGGCGUUCACGCACGAACGCAAUUGCGCGUGGGUCACUACCAUAAAAAGUCUUGUUGGAUAGGCCUAUAUUAUACAAAAAAAUAUUAGGUCGAUCCGACUUACAGACCACCCACACCACACACUUAUAAGUCCGUCCCUAUUUGAAUUUCGCUCACUGUAUUUCCAGAAGAUGACCCUACUAAAAUUCUUAUAUACGCGGACGAUAUCGUCAUCUAUAAUUCCACUCCUGAUAGUGUUGAACAAUAUAUAGAACUUCAAAAGCGUCUAAACGAAAUGGGUAGAUGGCCGUCUGACAACGGAUUUAAGUUUUCACCUCGGUUUUCACCCUCCAAAACGAUGGCAAUGCACUUUUGUCGAAAACAUAGGUGUCCACAUCAAACAUUUACUCUCAACGGUUCCUGCCUCAAACACACAGAUUCAUACAAAUUCUUAGGCAUCUUUCUUGACCCUAAGCUAUCCUUUAAAACACAUAUUCAGAACUUAAAAGUCUCGUGUAAUAAAAGACUAAAUGUGUUAAAGUGUCUCUCAGGACUAACCUGGGGAUCCGAUAGAAGCUCACUUGUGAAAGUUCACGAAGCCACUGUUCUAUCUAAGAUGUUCUAUGGGUGCGAAGUAUAUGCAACAGCUGGAUCUCAAACUUAUUUAAAUACUCUCAACAGUAUUUACAAUACAGGAUACAGGUUUAGUUUAGGCGCGUUUGUAACUUCCCCUACAAAUAGUAUUCUUUCAGAAGCAGGAGUUCCUCCACUCCGGCAGCGAUUUGACUUCAUAUGUGCUAAGACUGCAAUCCGGAUGGCCUCAUCCUACGGGAUUACAGGGCAUACCGAUAUAAUUGCAUAUGAAGAAAGAAAAAGUCGCAAAAGCUUCUUCUCAAGUGGUGGCAGUUUGGCUUACUCAAUUAUGGAUGGACUUCAAUUUGAGGAAAAUAAAAUACAAGUCCUUUACACUGAUGGCUCCGCCAGUGGGGAAAGUAGAGGAUUCGCAGUCGUCUUUGAUCAUGAACUUAUAUAGUGCCAAAUGCCAUAGUAGUUUAUCAGUUUAUGAUUUGGAAGCCAGGGGUAUUGAAAAGGCGCUAGAAGCAAUCCAAAGUCCCGACGGUGCCACCCAACACUAUAUUACUGCAUCCGAUUCCCUGAGUGUCAUUACUGCUGUGGACAACUUAGCUAUCAAUUCCCCCAUCAUUCGAAGAAUCAGAAACCUACUGAUUGAAUUAGGAGAUCAGACCACACUACUUUGGAUUCCGGGUCACAAGGGCAUUCCAGGGAAUGAGAGAGCAGACAGAGAAUCCAAAGCAGCUUCCUUUUUACCUUCCAUCACUGAUACUUGUGUCCCCGUCAAAUCUGCAAUUUCAUUGUGCAAAAACUUUUACGACGACUUAAAACUAAAAUGGUUCAAUUAUGAGGUAACUGGGUUCAUAAAAAAAACAAUUUACGUACCAAAACGUCCUAUUAUCCCUAAAUCACUUACCAGAAAAGAAUGCACCAUAAUUUCAAGAUUAAGAAUUGGACACUGUCGAUUAACCCAGUCCUUCAAAUUAACUAAAUCUCCCAUACCCCUCUGUCCAUCCUGUAAAAGAUAUCUUACCAUAUAGAACACAUCUUACUCGAAUGUAAAAAACUAAGUAAAAUAAGGAAACAAAUUUUUGGAAAUAAAAACAUAUUAAGCUUGCUGAGUUAUUCAAAGUCAGAUAUAGAUUUAAUAAUAAAAUUCAUUAAAGAAUUAGAACUUUUGGAAGAAAUUUAAACGUUUCUGUAAUCUAUUUUUUCUUACUCUUUCUUUUCAUUUUACAAGUAUUUCUUUUUCUUCUUUUCAUUGAACUUAUCCUCCAAUUGUAAUAUACAUUAACCACUAAUAUAAAACUAUGUAAAAUUAUACGGUGCUAUAUGAAAAAAUGCACCUAAUGAAAUUUGAAUAAAUAAAUAAUAAUAA